RNAcentral lists this non-coding RNA (172 nucleotides) under bovine gut metagenome. Its description in RNAcentral is "Lysine riboswitch". It matches the Rfam family "Lysine riboswitch aptamer". Rfam says of the family: Riboswitches are metabolite binding domains within certain messenger RNAs that serve as precision sensors for their corresponding targets. Allosteric rearrangement of mRNA structure is mediated by ligand binding, and this results in modulation of gene expression. The record is from RNAcentral.
AGAUAGAGGAUGCGCUUAAUCAAGAGUAGCCCCUUGCAAGCUUUGCAGAGUGCGAGGGAUGAAAGGGAUUGGCGCCGAGGUGGGAACCUGCUGCAAAAGGUUUCUUGCCGGGCGUAUGGAUAAGAUCCAUGCGACUGUCGCAAAGAGAAAAAAGAAUUUGCGGAGCGCUAUC